CGACCGGCGCACGGGUGAGUAACACGUAUCCAACCUGCCGUCUACUCUUGGCCAGCCUUCUGAAAGGAAGAUUAAUCCAGGAUGGGAUCAUGAGUUCACAUGUCCGCAUGAUUAAAGGUAUUUUCCGGUAGACGAUGGGGAUGCGUUCCAUUAGAUAGUAGGCGGGGUAACGGCCCACCUAGUCAACGAUGGAUAGGGGUUCUGAGAGGAAGGUCCCCCACAUUGGAACUGGGACACGGUCCAA
Molecule: ribosomal RNA, 244 nt
Filed under: uncultured bacterium
Lineage: Bacteria
Description: partial 16S ribosomal RNA
Rfam family: Bacterial small subunit ribosomal RNA
Source: RNAcentral